This is a non-coding RNA of Nestor notabilis (Kea), 142 nucleotides long. The record is from Rfam. NCBI's taxonomy places the organism in Eukaryota, Metazoa, Chordata, Aves, Psittaciformes, Psittacidae.
AAUUUCACACCUGGAUGUGCUCACUCAACCAAGAAUAUAGAGAAAGAGCUUCUGCCCUCAGACUCAGAAAAAUAUUCUCCACUGCUUCAGUUCAGUAUAGAUUUCUAGACCCCGAGCCUUGCUUAACAGAGUUGCACAGGGG